Molecule: ribosomal RNA, 449 nt
Filed under: Hypogymnia madeirensis
Lineage: Eukaryota; Fungi; Ascomycota; Lecanoromycetes; Lecanorales; Parmeliaceae
Description: partial large subunit ribosomal RNA
Rfam family: Eukaryotic large subunit ribosomal RNA
Source: RNAcentral
GAAGCGGCAACAGCUCAAAUUUGAAAUCCUCCGCUCCUUCGGGGUCCGAAUUGUAAUUUGUAGAGAGUGCUUUCGGGCGAGACCACGGUCUAAGUCCAUUGGAACAUGGCGUCAUAGAGGGUGAGAAUCCCGUAUGCGACUGUGGAUCGAGCCCAUGUGAAGCCUCUUCGACGAGUCGAGUUGUUUGGGAAUGCAGCUCAAAAUGGGUGGUAAAUUUCAUCUAAAGCUAAAUACUGGCUGGAGACCGAUAGCGCACAAGUAGAGUGAUCGAAAGAUGAAAAGCACUUUGGAAAGAGAGUCAAACAGUACGUGAAAUUGUUGAAAGGGAAGCGCUUGCAACCAGACCUGCCCGUAGGUGAUCAGCCGCUGUUCUCAGUGGUGCACUCGCUCUGCGAUCAGGCCAGCAUCGGUUCGGGCGGUCGGAUAAAGGCCUUGGGAAUGUAGCUCCC